UAGUAAUAAUAAUAAUAAUACAGAUGGGUAGUCAUGAUGGGUAUACUGGGCUUCGUAUAUUUUACCCCAGUGUCACUUUGAUGGCAUGCACUGCUCUCUCACUCAAUAAUAAUAAUAAUAAUAAAUGUCCUGAUGGAAUACCAGGCAGUGGUUCUCAUGUCUUCUGAUCUUAACUGAUUGGAAGUAUUAUCAUGUACAUUGUUUUGUCUUGGGAUAAAAGAUGGGCUACAGCAAAUAUUCUGCUCAAUACCACAGAUUUGCUUGUCAGUUGUUUGACCAUAACCGGUUGAGCACGCCCCUUGGUAGCUGACGAUAUGUGCAUCUCUGAUCAUGAGCAGAAGUAGUGGGGGAGCAUCAUAGACAUGUGUUGAAAGGGAUUCUUUAGGGUUUGAAUAAUUCACCUCUGGAAACAUGGGUGGUUCUUUCAACAUCCUUAAACAACCCUUAUUCAGGGACCUUUUGAGCGGGACGGGGUUACUCGACUAGAAGAAAAUUCUAACUGGGCCCCACCUGCAAGGUUAUGUGCUGUUUAUCUUGAUAUGAGAUCACCAUUUUGCGCACAUAUGGUUAUAGGUUAAGAACAAAGAUAAUUCUUCUAGUUUCUUAAGGAUUCAAGAUGAUAGGUUAGCCCUGAUUUUCUGGGUUUUAUAUAUAUUUUUGUUAUAGUGGUGGUGGGCUGAGGUCUUGGUUAGUUUUAUAUAGGAUAGACAUGUGAUAGUGGCAACGGCCCUACUUUUUGAAGAGUAGACAUUCUAGUGAUUGAUUCUCUCUUCAAUAUAGCAUUAUGUGUGAGAAGGGGUAGAUGGGGAUAUGGGUUGGCAAAAUUGUUACAGUAUCGGACAAAAUGCUUUGUAGCAUUCACUCCAGUUCUUUAAAUACGUUCAAAGUUGAAAUCCUUCUGAGGUCACCUUUGCUUUUCAUCUUUCCAGAGUUGGUCAAGCGUACCAGUGAAUUACCACGAUUGAUGGAGUUGACUAACCCCAUCCCCCUCAAAGCUACUGGCUUUGUACGUAAAUCAGAAACAAGAAUUGCGUGCAAGGAGGGUAACCCUGCUGGUGGAGCCCAACUCAUAACCCCUUACACAGAGAAGUUAUUGAAACCAGCACUGCAAGCUAAUGAAACAUCCAUGGGGUGACAGUUGUCCCUGCUGUUUACUAAAGAUGGACAUUUCCUUUUCAUGGAAUCUAUUCAUUGUUUAGUGGACUGAUGUGCACAAAAUAUUGCUGUCUGAUAGAAGAUAAGAACCUCAGACCUUUCGGCUGGCAUCCUGUCCACUCAACCACCAUCUCAGUGUGUGUUAUGUUAAAUCUUUUACGCCUUACAGAGAAUAGACCAUUGAUGACUUUUCUUGACUGUUCUCCACUCUGAGCUCUCUUUUCAAGGAAGGCUUCUCUCUUCUAGGUCUUGGUGGUUCUGAAUUGUCAUCGAUGCCUCUAUAUUCUUUGCUGUUCUUUCUAGAUGAGGUGAAGCUGGCCCUAGGCAAACCCAUUUUUGCUUCUGGAAGGAGUUGGUCCAUAUAUUUCUGGCCUCUAUCCUUUGACAUGCCUGCAUGGGAGACCUUACCAGGACGUUGCCCCUUCACUGUCAUAGCUCCCAAGGCCAUUGAGGCAUACAAGUCACCACAUUGCAGCAAGGACUGGACCCUGUGGUGGACUGUGUGUGUGUGUGUAGGUGUGUAUAUGUCUGUGCGUACACAUUCAUUUGUGUAAAUGUGUGUAUGCAUUCAUGUGUGUGUGUGUGUGUGCGUGUUUCUUUAAUCUGUGUCAUCCACGUAAAUGUGUGUGCAUUUGUAAAUAUGUGUAUGUGUACAGGGAAAUGUGUGUGUAUUUGUGCAACUGUGUGUAUGCACUGGGAAUAGUGUGUGUACACACUAGAAUAUAGUAUGUGUGUGUAAUCUGUAGCAUACACACACAUGGACACAGAUGAUGUAUAUAGAAAAUUAAUAGUAAUUAUUAUUAUUAACGAAAUAUCUCUAGGUGUAACUUAACAGUAGUAAUAAUAAUAAUAAUAGUAGUAGUAGUAGUAGUGGUAUGUUAGUAUUAAAGGGAGAUAACUUGAAGUUACUCCCCCCCCUAAUAUUACUGCUGUACAAAUAAUUUGAAAGCAUUUAAAACAUCAUAGCUAAUGAUGCUGUGGUGUUCAUCCGUGUUUGUGUUGUCUCAUUAUCUAUAUGUGGUUGUUAUAAUAAUGUUCAUCAUGUUUUUUUUUUAUUUUAUCCAUAGAAAAGACUCAACAACAAAAAUCAAAAUGAAAUUGUAACUGAAAGUAAAUAAAAAAUUUUUUUAAAAUCUAUUUAUUUAAAACGGAAAAAAAC
RNAcentral lists this long non-coding RNA (2314 nucleotides) under Octopus vulgaris (common octopus). Lineage: Eukaryota; Metazoa; Mollusca; Cephalopoda; Octopoda; Octopodidae. The record is from RNAcentral.